UACGAAGGGGGCUAGCGUUGCUCGGAAUCACUGGGCGUAAAGGGUGCGUAGGCGGGUUUUUAAGUCAGGGGUGAAAUCCUGGAGCUCAACUCCAGAACUGCCUUUGAUACUGAAGAUCUUGAGUCCGGGAGAGGUGAGUGGAACUGCGAGUGUAGAGGUGAAAAUUCGUAGAUAUUCGCAAGAACACCAGUGGCGAAGGCGGCUCACUGGCCCGGUACUGACGCUGAGGCACGAAA
This 236-nucleotide ribosomal RNA is filed under the name uncultured bacterium. Its description in RNAcentral is "partial 16S ribosomal RNA". It matches the Rfam family "Bacterial small subunit ribosomal RNA", at positions 524 to 758 of the family's 1533-position model. The record is from RNAcentral.